RNAcentral lists this ribosomal RNA (465 nucleotides) under uncultured bacterium. RNAcentral's name for it is "partial 16S ribosomal RNA". It matches the Rfam family "Bacterial small subunit ribosomal RNA", at positions 28 to 507 of the family's 1533-position model. The record is from RNAcentral.
GACGAACGCUGGCGGCGUGCAUAACACAUGCAAGUCGUACGGUAAGGCCCUUUCGGGGGUACACGAGUGGCGAACGGGUGAGUAACACGUGAGUAACCUGCCCACAACUUUGGGAUAACGCUAGGAAACUGGUGCUAAUACUGGAUAUGUGCUCCUGCUGCAUGGUGGGGGUUGGAAAGCUCCGGCGGUUGUGGAUGGACUCGCGGCCUAUCAGCUUGUUGGUGGGGUAGUGGCCUACCAAGGCGGCGACGGGUAGCCGGCCUGAGAGGGUGACCGGCCACAUUGGGACUGAGAUACGGCCCAGACUCCUACGGGAGGCAGCAGUGGGGAAUAUUGCACAAUGGGCGCAAGCCUGAUGCAGCAACGCCGCGUGCGGGAUGACGGCCUUCGGGUUGUAAACCGCUUUCAGCAGGGACGAAGCUUUUUGUGACGGUACCUGCAGAAGAAGCACCGGCUAACUACGUG